UCUAGAAAGAUUUCGGGUUGGCCCGAAUCUUCUGAGCGCCUCGUGCCUCGACGGGGGACGCUUAACGGUGAAAGGAAGGCGAGUGGGAAACCAGGGCCUGGGCAUGCAGAGCAGGAGGAAGAGGGGGGCGAAGGGAGGCAAGACGGCCAGGAAAAGGAGCUGAGUGGCACAUUAACCUUCCAGUUGCCGCCUCUGGCGCCCGUUGACCUCAGCAGGGACAAGGGCUAGCGCCGGCUCUGCGCAGGCGCGCGAGAGCGUUCCGCCCCCCGCCGCCGGGCGGGGCUCAGCCCCUCAGCCCUUCAGCAACGUUCUCCCCAGUGGGCGACCCCCGUCAGGGGGCCUGGAGAGCCACAAUUCUUCUAGUGUAAUAGCCCCCGCCAGCGGUGGUGGUGCCUGCCCAUGCCAGAGGCGCCGGGCUCGCCCACCCGAAGGUCCCUGGGGCGUCGGACUCAGGUUCGCCGAACCCAGGACCCAGCGAGCCAGACCCGCGCGCUCGGGCCCCCUGCCUGGGCUCUGGCUACGCGGGCUACUCGGCCACUUUGUGACCGUGCGGAGCGCGGAGUUGGGAGCAGGGAGGCCUGUGGCCAGUGAGGUAGUGAAGCCCGAGGCCGCUGGGAGCUGGCACCUGACGUGUUCUUCCCAUCCCUCCUUUAAUCGCUCAUUCCCCAGCUCUCUCCCAGCCCCCGACCUUUAUUCUCAUUCCAGACACUUCCAGCCCAACGGCAGGCGCCGAUCCCACGCGGGGUGGCGAGAUCCGAAAGUUUCCAGCUAUGAACGAUCCACUGUGCCAACUAGGCAGGAGCAAAGACAGCCACAACAGAAAUUGGCUUUGGAGAGGAGUGAUUGGAUGCUGAGGGCAAAUGAUUUGCUAUUUAUUGACCUCGACUGCUGUGAGUGAAUUCUAGUAAACAAAAAAACAUGCACCAUGUACUACACCACCUGUGGAAUUUGGUCUGCCAAGGGAGCCAGGCUGUGGGUCCAGCCCCACCAAUGGUUUGCUAGGUGAACUCAAGUAAGCCAUGCAAUCUGUACUGAAAAUCCUGGUACAAUCUGGGAACAGUUGUGUCUCCUGGCCCAAGGUAGCCUGCUAUUAAACAAGACAGUGCUCUAUGCCCUUUUAGGGAUGCUAUGAAAUUUUACAGUAUGAUGACAGCCUGUUUAGGCUUAUUAUAUGCCUUACUGACUUGUGCAACUGUUGGCAACCCACUUCUCUCUGGAUUCGUAUCCUCCAACUG
Molecule: non-coding RNA, 1235 nt
Organism: Vicugna pacos (alpaca)
Lineage: Eukaryota; Metazoa; Chordata; Mammalia; Artiodactyla; Camelidae
Source: RefSeq, a predicted model, not a curated record